Molecule: non-coding RNA, 26 nt
Filed under: Rattus norvegicus (Norway rat)
Lineage: Eukaryota; Metazoa; Chordata; Mammalia; Rodentia; Muridae
Source: RNAcentral
AUACUUAGACAAAUGAUAGUGAGCAC